This is a long non-coding RNA of Canis lupus familiaris (dog), 1478 nucleotides long. RefSeq lists it as uncharacterized. The transcript is spliced from 3 exons. Lineage: Eukaryota; Metazoa; Chordata; Mammalia; Carnivora; Canidae. The record is from RefSeq and is a predicted model, not a curated record.
GCAGUUAAACUGCCACUGCCGAUCCUGGUACCACUGGAGAAGGAGCCACCCCGGGGGAACACUGCUGGCCUCCUGGGAGCUACUGUCCAAGGGCCCCAAGCACGGAAGCCGCAGGUGAAGCCACAGAGAGCCACUGAGAAAGAGAGUCGCCCCUAGAACCCAUUCAGGCCCGGGCAGCAGGACAGCCACCUCGGUCAUCACCAGGCCAGCGGGAAGUGGCAGGUCCCCUGUUCUCUCGCUCUCCCUACACUGUGAUCUUGGGGGGCCUUGGGACUCUCAGAAGGAAGAGGGCCAAAGGAAGUGACAUGAGAAGUGGCUGGCACCCUGUUCCCUCCACAGUGGACGGGGCCCAGUGCGGUGGCGUAAAUAUUGAACCAGCGCACCGCUGUUCUUUAGCCGCACACCGGCUCCCAAGGUAAAAAGCCCUGCCCUUGGAGCAUUUGCCGCCUCCUAUGGUGUCACAGGUCCCAGCAUGGCCACCUCGGGCUGCAGGCUACCAGUGGGAUGUCACUGAGCGCAGGGCGGGAAGCCCACAGGUGGCCCUGCUGAGCUGAGAGGGGCCCAGUGCUCCCAGCCUGAAAUCAUGCUUACGCUGGGCUGGAGGGACAGAACUCUCUAGAAGGAAGACUGAGUUGCUGGAAAGCCUGUGUCCUGCAACCUUGCUUUAUUAUCUGAAGUGACCUCAGGGCUUUCCGUGACUGCCCACAUUUCCCCCCAGUGGCGAGGGGAAAGACUGAGCAGAUUUUAGCUCGGGGCCGGGAGGAAACACCAAUCGAGUGGCAUUCUCGUUCUAUGUGAAGGUGGUGUCCGUGCAGUGUACGGGUUACCUCGGUGACUUUUAAAAACUUGCAAAUGACUUUUUGAAAAAGACUGUCAUCCAACGGCCACGCAGGACCUGAAAGGUCACACGGGAAACCUCGGCCCUUGGUGGAGAACCGCGGGGUGUUAAGGAAGGCCUUCCGCCCACGAUGAGGUCUUGACUCAGAUGUCACUUCCUCCCAAGGUCUGCCUUGCGCCAGGGACAGGGGUCCUACUCGGCUCUGCACGUCUCUGUCUCCCCGCAUCUACCGUGGCCCCACAUGAUGUGCUCCAAGGCCAGCGCCCUGCACCCAGCCAGCUGCUUCCAAGGCAUCUGGGCACUCCCAGCCCCAAAUUCAUUCUGCCCAGCUUCUCCAACCAAGAGGGAAGGCCUUUCCUAAUUUCUGUUGCAAAGUUCCUGGGGAGGAAUUCGGUGUUGCCUGGGUCCGAUGCCCUCCUGGUGGUGGAUGCUCCUGGGGUAUUAGGGUUGGCAGCCCUCCUUAGAAUCCCGCGGUGGAGAGGAAGGAGGAACGGACUAGAAUCAAGCCGGAUAAAUCGUGGUGAUGGUCGCCUCACUUUGUGAAUGUACUAAAACCCUCUCAGCCGUAAAAGACGGAAUUUUAUGGUAUGUGAAUCCCAUCUCAAUAAAAAAAAUAAUAAAAAGUAAGCCAGAAAUAAAA